This 708-nucleotide ribosomal RNA is filed under the name Bacillus licheniformis. Its description in RNAcentral is "bacterial SSU rRNA". It matches the Rfam family "Bacterial small subunit ribosomal RNA", at positions 55 to 743 of the family's 1533-position model. Lineage: Bacteria; Bacillati; Bacillota; Bacilli; Caryophanales; Bacillaceae. The record is from RNAcentral.
CNGCCAGUACGAGCGGACCGACGGGAGCUUGCUCCCUUAGGUCAGCGGCGGACGGGUGAGUAACACGUGGGUAACCUGCCUGUAAGACUGGGAUAACUCCGGGAAACCGGGGCUAAUACCGGAUGCUUGAUUGAACCGCAUGGUUCAAUUAUAAAAGGGGGCUUUUAGCUACCACUUACAGAUGGACCCCCGGCGCAUUAGCUAGUUGGUGAGGUAACGGCUCACCAAGGCGACGAUGCGUAGCCGACCUGAGAGGGUGAUCGGCCACACUGGGACUGAAACACGGCCCAAACUCCUACGGGAGGGAGCAGUAGGGAAUCUUCCGCAAUGGAAGAAAGUCUGACGGAGCAACGCCGCGUGAGUGAUGAAGGUUUUCGGAUCGUAAAACUCUGUUGGUAGGGAAGAACAAGUACCGUUCGAAUAGGGCGGUACCUUGACGGUACCUAACCAGAAAGCCACGGCUAACUACGUGCCAGCAGCCGCGGUAAUACGUAGGUUGCAAGCCUUGUCCGGAAUUAUUGGGCGUAAAGCGCGCGGAGGCGGUUUCCUAAGUCUGAUGUGAAAGCCCCCGGCUCAACCGGGGAGGGUCAUUGGAAACUGGGGAACUUGAAUGCAGAAGAGGAGAGUGGAAUUCCACGUGUUACCGUGAAAUGCGUAGAGAUGUGGAGGAACCCCCNUGGCGAAGGCGACUCUCCGUCCUGUAACUGA